GAUGAACGCUGGCGGUAUGCUUAACACAUGCAAGUCGAACGGGGUGCAUAGUCACCUAGUGGCGGACGGGUGAGUAACGCGUGAGAAUCUGGCCUCAGGUCCGGGACAACCACGGGAAACGGUGGCUAAUACCGGAUGUGCCAUAUUGGUGAAAGAUUAAUUGCCUGAGGAUGAGCUCGCGUCUGAUUAGCUAGUUGGUGGGGUAAAGGCUUACCAAGGCGACGAUCAGUAACUGGUCUGAGAGGAUGACCAGUCACACUGGGACUGAGACACGGCCCAGACUCCUACGGGAGGCAGCAGGUGGGAAAUUUUCGCAAUGGGCGAAAGCCUGACUGAGCAAUACCGCGUGAGGGAGGAAGGCUCUUGGGUUGUAAACCUCUUUUCUCAGGGAAGAAGAAUGACGGUACCUGAGGAAUCAGCAUCGGCUAACUCCGUG
RNAcentral lists this ribosomal RNA (436 nucleotides) under uncultured bacterium. RNAcentral's name for it is "partial 16S ribosomal RNA". It matches the Rfam family "Bacterial small subunit ribosomal RNA", at positions 28 to 507 of the family's 1533-position model. The record is from RNAcentral.